Molecule: long non-coding RNA, 799 nt
Filed under: Trifolium pratense (red clover)
Lineage: Eukaryota; Viridiplantae; Streptophyta; Magnoliopsida; Fabales; Fabaceae
Description: long non-coding RNA (TPRA_LNC007024)
Source: RNAcentral
GUAACCCAAGAGCCUCAAUGCCAUAUCGUGUCCCUAUCACAGGUAAUCUACCAUCUGCAUCUCCACUAUUAAUUCAUUCCACAAACAAACACAUUAAUGAAUGAAUUUAUUCAAUUCAACCAUAUAUCUCAUUCAUCAAUCAAAAAGUGAACUAUCUUGGUAUAUACUAAUUGCAACCGCUACUGCAUGCAGAGACAGAGUAGACACAUGAAUGAGUACGUGACCCUUUCACCCAAAGCUAACAAUUCUAUGUAAAUUAUAACUACAUCUAUCUAUCUAUUAAAUUAUAAAGCAUGUAACCAUAAUGUCAUAAAUGUCACUUGCAUUUAGUAAAAAAAUAAAUGUCACUUCACUUUGUUAAAAAAAAUUCUAUUUCGGUCCAUAAAUGGAACCACGUUUAAAAUGUUCAAACUCAACUAAAUCUUAACCAAUAUGAGAGAUGGAUUUAGAUUUGCUGUUGUGGUAUUCACGUAUUAAUUCAUCUUCAUCGUCAAUUUAAGAUCGGAUAGUGCAUAUGAUAUAUGUACUAAAACAAUCUUAACUAUCCAUUAAUGUCGAAUAGUUAAGACUUGCUACGGUUACAGCAGGGAAUCUGUUUCUUAGUAGACACUAGAGAUGAUGUAGUAGCACGGAUGGUGCAGUAGUAGUAGUUCCGAUUCCGAAGACCGUUAGAUUUAGUGCAAGGUUUUAAAUUGUGGACCGCAUCACCUGAUGCGGCCGCAAUAUUGCGGAUGCGGUAGGCACUGCAACCGCAUCGGACCGCAAUUGCGGUGUGAACUCAAAUCACACGUGAUGCCGC